UACGGAGGAUGCAAGCGUUAUCCGGAAUGAUUGGGCGUAAAGGGUCCGCAGGUGGCAGUGUAAGUCUGCUGUCAAAGAAUGAGGCUUAACCUCAUCAAGGCAGUGGAAACUACACAGCUAGAGUACGGUCGGGGUAGAAGGAAUUCCUGGUGUAGCGGUGAAAUGCGUAGAGAUCAGGAAGAACACCGGUGGCGAAGGCGGCUACCUGGCCCACUCUUGACGCUGAGGCGCGAAAGCUAGGGGAGCAAACGGG
This 253-nucleotide ribosomal RNA is filed under the name uncultured bacterium. RNAcentral describes it as "partial 16S ribosomal RNA". It matches the Rfam family "Bacterial small subunit ribosomal RNA", at positions 524 to 776 of the family's 1533-position model. The record is from RNAcentral.